UUUUGGAACCCUAAUAAUAAAUCCAUCUCUACACCACUUGAUCUCUUGCUACUACAACUACUCACACUCGAUAUUUCAACUCCAAACAACCGUAAAAUCUGAACCGGUUCAACCAACUCGACCGGUUGGGUACCCGGGUUUGUUUUACCCGACCCGGUUUUUGACUCCCAGUGAAUGUAAAACUGCUUAUCCGGUCCGGUCGAGCUGUGAAAGCUAACGCUAUCACCGGCUUUUAAGUUCUUUUCUUUAACAAACCGGCUCCACCCUUUGGUUAACACAUAACUCUGGCUACUAUUCCAAUAUGAAUACCGAAAUCGCCAAACUUUUGACUCGGUAUCUUCGAAGUGUAACAAAACUCCCUUUGAACUGAUGCCUUUUUGAACCGGAAAGUGUUUUUCAGCAUGUUGUUUUGGUAUCACGAGCCGGUUUAGUUUGCCAACGUCGCUUGGUGUGACGGUUUUUUGGAAGAGUUGUUCGCGUGGCAUGGUGCAACCCGGUCCGGGAAGCAUGUCAACUAUUUCGGAUUUUGAGUGACGGUUUAAAAAAGUUGCUUCAAAGGCAGCAGCGUUGUCGUCGGUGACUAGUUGCUUGAAGUUUGUUACUGCGUCUCGUCCGCGAAAGCGUUGGACCGCGACGUCGUACGCUUUCGCGGCUUCGUCUUCGUCGUUAAACGUGCCAAGCCAUACCUGUGGUAAGACAAUGGUGCGCGUUUAGCAUAUACGAGGUAUAUUUAGCCAACCCCACAAAAAACAAAAGAAUAAUCAAAUGUACUAGUUGAUUUUUAUCGUACCCUAAGGGUACAUAUUAAUAAUUUGAUAACUAAAAAGUAACACUGGUAAAAUUAAUGAUUUGAUAACUAAAAAGUACAACCGGUAAAAAUCAACCUAGGGGUACGUUUAUCAUAACAAAAAAGUUAUGCCCAAAGUACCCCUCCUUGUGGUUUUUCGCUAAAAUUAGCUUUUAGCUACAAAAUUAGUUAUAUCGUCUCUUUACUUUUUAGUUAGCAUAUGUAACAUAUACAUGUUUAUGACGGAUAUCAUGAUGCUUAUAAUCUUAAAAGACUAAACAUAAAAUCAACACCACCAUACCCUUUGAUGUUUCUCAUAAAUCUGAGCUCCCCAACGGCCAUUCGGUUGCGGAACAACGCCUUUAUAUCUUGACGACGGUAGCUUCCUCGACAAGGCUUCCACUUCCGGGUCAGAAACCACGCUGGCUCCGCUUCCAACCCGGCGCAAGCUCAUCUCCAACGGCGGUGUUGUGGUGGUGGUUACCGGUUGUGCAACGGUGGAGAUGGUUUCACUGGUUGUGGUUUGAUUAUCUGUGCAACUUGUGUCCAUUUGUAGAGAGAGAAAUGAGAUUGUUUUGUUGUUUCAACAGAGAGAAAUAAAAAGUAUGAAAUGGGUGUGAAAGAAGAGGUGUGUAUAUAUAGGGAUUAGGGAGAUAUUAUAUGUUCAUGUGGGUGAUUGAUAAUAGUAUUUUAGUUUCAUGUUGUCAUAUAUAAUAAAUCCUACUUGAUAUAUUUGUGU
Molecule: long non-coding RNA, 1526 nt
Filed under: Helianthus annuus (common sunflower)
Lineage: Eukaryota; Viridiplantae; Streptophyta; Magnoliopsida; Asterales; Asteraceae
Description: hypothetical non coding rna
Source: RNAcentral